GGCCUCGCUGGCGUAGCGGUAGCACGCGUCCUUGGUGCGGAUUAAAAUGCGGGUUCAGCUCCCGUCUGAGGUCA
This is a non-coding RNA of Parelaphostrongylus tenuis, 74 nucleotides long. The record is from the annotation of a GenBank genome assembly. Lineage: Eukaryota; Metazoa; Nematoda; Chromadorea; Rhabditida; Metastrongylidae.